RNAcentral lists this long non-coding RNA (1550 nucleotides) under Malus domestica (apple). RNAcentral's name for it is "long non-coding RNA (MDOM_LNC014140)". Lineage: Eukaryota; Viridiplantae; Streptophyta; Magnoliopsida; Rosales; Rosaceae. The record is from RNAcentral.
UGGGGGAAUGUCAUCGGCUUCACACCGUAAACUUAUUGGGAGGGGCAUGGAAGAGGUCAGCGUUUGAUUAUUUGAUAGAAAAAUGACAUAUUAAAUAAGUUGGGUCAUUGAAGGCAUUGAAUGUCUUUCAAACUCAUAUGGAGUGAUGGGGAGUCUAAUCUUUGUUUUGUCUUGCACGGGUUUACAGUUUACCAAGACCCUUUUUAAUUUUCUAGAUAAAUACCAUUAAGAGUAGACCUGUAAACGGAUCGGGUUUAUUGGGUUUAGAUCGAGUUCAACCCGAUCCGUUAAGUUAACGGGUCACCCGUUAACAAUUAUUAUUAUUAUUAUUUUUUGCAUAAAGUUUAUUUUUUGUUAUUAAGACUUUACUAAAAUGACUAAAAUAUCCUCAACUAACGGGUGCUAACGGGUGUUAACAAGUCUUAACGGGUCUAACAGGUUGACCUAAAGUGACCCGUUAUUUAACAGGUUGUUAACGGGUUCAUCCGUUAACGACCCGAUCCGUUAAGCAUCCACCCAAAUACAAAUAUUAACGGGUUGGGUCGGGUCGGGUUAACGGGUUGGGUCCAAAAUACCAGGCCUAAUUAAGAGGGUUAAUAUACCCACCUCAUAAUCUUAUUUUUCCACCCACUUGUUAAUGAAAAUUUUAAUAACGAAUUUAAUCUUAUGUAAAAAGACUUCAAAGGCCUUGUUAAAAGUUAAUCCUUUUAUAUAUUCUUCGUAGUCAAAGAAAAAAAAAAGAACAGAAAAAAAUUUAAAAACUAAAAUGAGAAAAGAAUCAAAUCUUCCCAUUUUGUCUCUUCAUUCCCCGCCACUGUCAACUCUUUCUUCCUCCUCCAUCUUCUAUCUUUUCAUUCCACCCCCACCCACCCCAAAUUCUCUCUCUUUUUUCCCCUACUUUCAACCCUUAAUUCUAAAUUGGAAUCGGAAAAUUGAAUCUUAAAUCCAGAUUUGGUAGGGGGAGAAAGAAAGAGGUAGAGAUGAACAUAGAAAGGAGAAGAAAACAGAAGGAAUAUAACUUCCCCAAGGACAAAGGAAAAAGGAGUUGCCGCCGUCAUAUGUAGUGCCUGGUUGUGGUUUUUUUUUGGUAGGUUAGGCAGGGACAUUCACGGCUGUUCCAUUCUCUUAAAAUCGAUUCAAUCAUUUUUUAUAUUUUAUUUUAUUUUAUUUAGGAAACUGUUAGGGAUAAGUAGGUGGGAAUAAAGUGUUUGAUUUUUUUUAAACUUUUUAUGAUGGAUAAAAAUAUAACGUAGGUAGAAAAAUAAAAUUAUGAAGUUGGCAUAGUAGAACUCACUAUUAAUAACUCAACAAAUAAUUCACAGAAAUGAUUAACAUUACUAAGAAAAAAAAAGGAAAAUACAUGGCAAUCUACAUGCGUGCAUGAGUGAUUGAUCAAUAUGUUUAAUUUUCAAAAGUCUUACCUUUUUUUUUUUUUGAUUCUAAAAUAUAUUGAUGUUUUGUUACUUAGUGUUACGAUCUAAUAAUAUUUCUCUUCACUUGUCAGUGAGAGGUCUUAGGUAUGAUUUUUGCCUCAAACGAGUUUGAACCAC